This 428-nucleotide ribosomal RNA is filed under the name uncultured prokaryote. Its description in RNAcentral is "bacterial SSU rRNA". It matches the Rfam family "Bacterial small subunit ribosomal RNA", at positions 355 to 774 of the family's 1533-position model. The record is from RNAcentral.
UGAGGAAUUUUGCGCAAUGGGAGCAAUCCUGACGCAGCAACGCCGCGUGGGUGAUGAAGGCCUUCGGGUCGUAAAGCCCUGUCAGGUGGGAAGAAUGUCCCGGGACUGAACAGGUUCCGGGAGUGACGGUACCACCAGAGGAAGCACCGGCUACCUCCGUGCCAGCAGCCGCGGUAAUACGGAGGGUGCAAGCGUUAUUCGGAAUUCCUGGGCGUACAGCGCGUGUAGGCGGUCCUGCAAGUCUGAUGUGAAAGCCCCGGGCUUAACCCGGGAAGUGCAUUGGAAACGGUGGGACUUGAGUACGGGAGAGGAUGGGGGAAUUCCCGGUGUAGAGGUGAAAUUCGUAGAGAUCGGGAGGAAUAUCAGUGGCGAAGGCGCCCAUCUGGACGGUAACUGACGCUGAGACGCGAAAGCGUGGGGAGCAAACA